RNAcentral lists this ribosomal RNA (253 nucleotides) under uncultured bacterium. Its description in RNAcentral is "partial 16S ribosomal RNA". It matches the Rfam family "Bacterial small subunit ribosomal RNA", at positions 524 to 776 of the family's 1533-position model. The record is from RNAcentral.
UACGGAGGGGGCUAGCGUUGUUCGGAAUUACUGGGCGUAAAGCGCGCGUAGGCGGACCUGCAAGUCGGGGGUGAAAGCCCGAGGCUCAACCUCGGAACUGCCUUCGAUACUGCGGGUCUCGAGUCCGGGAGAGGUGAGUGGAAUUCCUAGUGUAGAGGUGAAAUUCGUAGAUAUUAGGAAGAACACCAGUGGCGAAGGCGGCUCACUGGCCCGGUUCUGACGAUGAGGCGCGAAAGAGUGGGGAGCAAACAGG